GACGAACGCUGUCGGCGUGCUUAACACAUGCAAGUCGAACGGAAAGGCCCUGCUUUUGUGGGGUGCUCGAGUGGCGAACGGGUGAGUAACACGUGAGUAACCUGCCCUUGACUUUGGGAUAACUUCAGGAAACUGGGGCUAAUACCGGAUAGGAGCUCCUGCUGCAUGGUGGGGGUUGGAAAGUUUCGGCGGUUGGGGAUGGACUCGCGGCUUAUCAGCUUGUUGGUGGGGUAGUGGCUUACCAAGGCUUUGACGGGUAGCCGGCCUGAGAGGGUGACCGGCCACAUUGGGACUGAGAUACGGCCCAGACUCCUACGGGAGGCAGCAGUGGGGAAUAUUGCACAAUGGGCGGAAGCCUGAUGCAGCAACGCCGCGUGCGGGAUGACGGCCUUCGGGUUGUAAACCGCUUUCGCCUGUGACGAAGCGUGAGUGACGGUAAUGGGUAAAGAAGCACCGGCUAACUACGUGCCAGCAGCCGCGGUGAUACGUAGGGUGCGAGCGUUGUCCGGAUUUAUUGGGCGUAAAGGGCUCGUAGGUGGUUGAUCGCGUCGGAAGUGUAAUCUUGGGGCUUAACCCUGAGCGUGCUUUCGAUACGGGUUGACUUGAGGAAGGUAGGGGAGAAUGGAAUUCCUGGUGGAGCGGUGGAAUGCGCAGAUAUCAGGAGGAACACCAGUGGCGAAGGCGGUUCUCUGGGCCUUUCCUGACGCUGAGGAGCGAAAGCGUGGGGAGCGAACAGGCUUAGAUACCCUGGUAGUCCACGCUGUAAACGGUGGGUACUAGGUGUGGGGUCCAUUCCACGGGUUCCGUGCCGUAGCUAACGCUUUAAGUACCCCGCCUGGGGAGUACGGCCGCAAGGCUAAAACUCAAAGGAAUUGACGGGGCCCCGCACAAGCGGCGGAGCAUGCGGAUUAAUUCGAUGCAACGCGUAGAACCUUACCUGGGUUUGACAUGGAUCGGGAGUGCUCAGAGAUGGGUGUGCCUCUUUUGGGGUCGGUUCACAGGUGGUGCAUGCCUGUCGUCAGCUCGUGUCGUGAGAUGUUGGGUUAAGUCCCGCAACGAGCGCAACCCUUGUUCACUGUUGCCAGCACGUUAUGGUGGGGACUCAGUGGAGACCGCCGGGGUCAACUCGGAGGAAGGUGGGGAUGACGUCAAGUCCUCAUGCCCCUUAUGUCCAGGGCUUCACGCAUGCUACAAUGGCUGGUACAGAGAGUGGCGAGCCUGUGAGGGUGAGCGAAUCUCGGAAAGCCGGUCUCAGUUCGGAUUGGGGUCUGCAACUCGACCUCAUGAAGUCGGAGUCGCUAGUAAUCGCAGAUCAGCAACGCUGCGGUGAAUACGUUCCCGGG
RNAcentral lists this ribosomal RNA (1343 nucleotides) under uncultured bacterium. RNAcentral describes it as "16S ribosomal RNA". It matches the Rfam family "Bacterial small subunit ribosomal RNA", at positions 28 to 1378 of the family's 1533-position model. The record is from RNAcentral.